Molecule: long non-coding RNA, 1735 nt
Organism: Brachypodium distachyon (stiff brome)
Lineage: Eukaryota; Viridiplantae; Streptophyta; Magnoliopsida; Poales; Poaceae
Exons: 2
Source: RefSeq, a predicted model, not a curated record
UGUUCUUUUAGAAAUCUGUUACCAAUUAGUGCACGUAAUUUACACUCUUCUCGUUUCAUAUCACAAACAAUUGUUCACUGAUGCAUUGGUUAUUCUGUUACCAACUUGAGCUAGGAUCAUUGGACAUCUCUUUGGACUUUGGCAUAUCUCUGCUCGCAUAUUCCCGAAAAUAACUUAAGUGGUUGCAAAACCUUAGCAUAAACAUAGAAUCUGCAGUUGACCCAAAUAAUGAUCAACCAGACAACACUGAGAAAUGUUGUCAUUAUUUAUGCCUUAUACACGGCUGAUCCUUCAGAUGGAUGACUUGCUUGAGAGAACAAUUCCAUCACCUCCAAAGAACUGAUUCGUAAUGUCUAUGUGUGAUAAUUAAACAAAUAAUAACUGCACUGACUUGACUUUCAUUUAUAGAGAGCAGGAUAAUGGCCCGUAGAAAAUUGUCGGUAGAAAAUGGCAGGAUAACUUGUUUCACUAGCGACUUAGCUGUUACUGACAGAGCAGGAUGGUGCAGAGAACUGGAAAUAGGUACCGGAGUGGUAACAAAAUUCCGAUAAUCCAACUUCAUCAGCCCUGGAAUCACUCUUCACAGCAGGACCAUACAGGACCUUGCUGAAGGAAAAAAGGAAAAAUCAGUAGUACGUACGUAGACGCAUGGCAUGCAUCAUUCUGUCCGUUCCUUCCUUCUUUUUCAGAUCAAAAGCAGGCCAAAAACUACCGUUCUUUCCCGGUCGGUCACCUCCUUUGAUUGCUGCUUUCUCAUUCCCUUCCCUGCUGCAACAGGCUCAACUCAUUGCCCCAUCACCGUUUGCACGUACUACUUGAUAAUGCUAGGCUAUCUCUCACUAGCUGCUACAGCCAGGGCUUAACAGCCCUAAGCUAUACACCAUCUUUUCCCCAUCAGAAACACUAUCUUAGGGGCAAAAAGACGAUGCAAAGGCUGGCUGGCCAUUGCAUGGUGCAUGUGUUUGUCCGUGUGAGAGAGGGGGUGACCCCAUGCCUGCCCUGCAUCAACCUUGUAGUUGGCACCGAAUCCCACUCUCCAAGGCGGCAGCGGCAGCUUCACCAUGACACAUCCAUCUCUUUCUUUCUUUGCUCCAUAUCGUCAUCAUCAUCAUCUCCUACCCCCCACUUGGCUUUCUUCCUUUUGGCUCUCAAAAGUUGCGGAUCCUUGGCUCUUCCCAAGGGAGGGAGUGUGUGUCUGUGUGCUUGGAGCCCACACACAAUAAGCUGCUGCUACUCUACUGCUAGUAGGAUUCUGCUACUGUUAGCUGGUCACUCCUCACUCGUCGUUGCAUUGCAUUGCUGCAUUUCCUACUGGGCUCUGAAUGAAAUCUGAACCUGCCUGGAUUUGAAAGAUAUCUGGAGGCCCCUUUGUGGCAGCGUCUUUGCGGCUUCUGAUUCCCUGCUUGUUAAAGAAAGAUACUCCGUAACAAUAUUUAGACCAAUCGUCCCGCGCUGGAUUCCUGCUGCUUUGACGGUUCUUGCAGGUGUGAAACCAAGCAGAGACUGAAUUGUUUGGGUGCUGGAGGUGAUUAUGGGGGAAUAAAGCGUGCUCUUGUCUUUGUGUUGGCACUGGCAGCAGAUCACAUUUCUAGCCGGCCUCCUUUUGUGGAUGCAUUGCUGGCUGUUUGGUUGGCUGAUGAAUUGAUUCACGGAAUACCUCGGCUAACACAUGUACUAGUACCAAAUAUAGAACUAUACAUUUGGAGAAUUAAAAGAUGCAAUGUUUCUCUCAUUU